RNAcentral lists this long non-coding RNA (2973 nucleotides) under Canis lupus familiaris (dog). RNAcentral describes it as "lncRNA (ENSCAFG00845027392.1)". Lineage: Eukaryota; Metazoa; Chordata; Mammalia; Carnivora; Canidae. The record is from RNAcentral.
UUUUUUUUUUUUUUUAAAGCAUUUAGUGUUUAUAGAUUUAUUUAUUUAGUAUUUAUUGGGUACCUACCAUGGGAAUUGUGGAUAUUUCAGGAAGUAUAAGGUACUAUUCCUUCCCCUUCUCUCAUUGUGGCUACUGCAACGGCCUUUUUACAAUGAUCUUUUUUACUAACACCCUACUUCAAUCCAUUAUUCACACAAUAGCCACAGUCAUCUUUUAAAUGAUAAGUCAUAACAUGGUAUUUCUUCAUUUAAAACACUCUGUAGGGGCACGUGGGUGGCUCAGUGGUUGAGCGUCUGCCUUCGGCUCAGGGCGUGAUCCCGGGGCCCUAGGAUCGAGUCCCACAUGGGGCUCCCCAUGAGGAGCCUGCUUCUCCCUCUGCCUGUGUCUCUGCCUCUCUCUGUGUGUGUCUCAUGAAUAAAUACAUAAAAUCUUUUAAAAAAAAAAUAAAACACUCUGUGGCUUCCUGUUAGAGAAUAAAAUCCUUUUUAUCCUGCAUAGAGGAUAAAAUCCAAACUAUGAUUUAAAAGAUUCACGAAGGGCAGCCCAGCCUGAGACAGCUUGAUUUUUGUUUAUCUUUACACUUAAUGUGCUUUAUUUUGAAUUUACUGUUUACAUGCAGAAGGGUGCAGUAUCACAGGAGCUGGAGUCCUAAGUGAGCUCAACUGCUUCUGAACUGUUAGGCCCCUGCUCUCAAAGCAAAGUGAGCCUGCAGGUGUCAUGGAUCCACAGUAUAACUAAAAGUUCUCUCAAUUCUUCCCUAUAGAAUGCAAUGUAAUUAAAGAAUAAAAUUGGGAUCCCUGGGUGGCACAGCGGUUUGGCACCUGCCUUUGGCCCAGGGCGCAAUCCUGGAGACCCGGGAUCGAAUCCCACGUCGGGCUCCCGGUGCAUGGAGCCUGCUUCUCUCUCUGCCUGUGUCUCUGCCUCUCUCUCUCUCUCUCUCUCUGUGAGACUAUCAUAAAUAAAUAAAAAUUAAAAAAAAAAAGAAUAAAAUUUAAACAUGCUUAUUUAAAAGUUACAUAUAUAUAUAUAAGAGUCACUACAGCAAUCUUUAUUUUUAGAACUUAGGCCAACAAAAGAGAUUUUUGGGGAGAAAUGUUUUAUAACUGACAAACUGAUGUUAUUUAAAAUUGCCAGCACACAAUGACAUUAAAAAGCAGACCAACUUUCAGGUGACUGGUGUUUUAAAAUUCCUCUACAGGCUAACAUAGCACUUUACUCCCCUCACCAAUGCACAUGAUACUCUAUCACAAUAAAAAAGUUGUAAGUGCUGUGAUACAGGGAAACACAGGUACUGUGGGAACAGAAACAAGGGCAAAGGAGGAGGAGAAGAACAAUGGAAGUAUAAUGUCCCAGAAGCCAAGGGAGUAGGAAUUCCAAGAAAUAUGAAGUCAGCAGUUAGUUGCAACCAAUACUGCAAAGGAGCCCUCCUCUGAAUUGGGUGCUAGGGCCAAUGUGAGUAAGGCCUAGAGAUCUCCCUUUACUACAUGGAAAGGUAAAACUAACUCUGCCUUCCUCUGGCCGGCAUGUAAGUUAGUUCAAAGGGAAAAUUCUUAUCUUUGGUCUUAACUAUUUCUUAUUAUCAGAGGCAGAAAGAUAGAAGAGCACAUAUUGGGACACCUGGGUGGCUCAGCAGUUUGGCACCUGCCUUAAGCCCAGGGCAUGAUCCUGGAGACCCGGGAUCGAGUCCCAGGUCGUGUUCCCUGCACAGAGCCUGCUUCCCUCUCUCUCUACCUCUCUCUCUGUACCACUCAUGAAUGAAUAAAUAAAAUCUUAAAAAGAAGAAGAAGAAGAAGAAGAAGAAGAAGAAGAAGAGGAGGAGGAGGAGGAGGAGGAGCACCACAUAUUAUAUUAAGCCAAUGGCAGGUCUGCAUUCUCUAGACCCUAAUCCUGCACAGAACUCAGCUAAUGGCCAGCACUGGCCCUGGCCAGUGCCUGAGAAGGGAAGAGAGCCCACUUAGAAGAUGGGUUUAGGAACAGAGUCUUCUGGCCUGCUCCUACUUGGCCAUAGCGCCAAAUCUCAUAUAAAUAACCACAAACAGAACUGCUUAAGUGGAAUACAAUUUAAUCCUCACAUCUGCUCUCUGUUCACCCCGCCGUGCUCACUUGAAUAAAGCAGGAAGCAUUUGGCCACCAUAAAGUCUCUUUUCAUGUUUAAACUCCCUUCACUAGGUAGCUCCUGCACCUGUACUUUUUGGAUGGUGAAGCUGAAAUAGCCAUCAGUUAAUUUAAUCUUUUUAUAAACUAAUUCAGAAAAGAAAAUUAACUUUUUAAGAAACAACAACAAAAUCAGACACUUUCACAGCAAUUGUGACUAUCCAUCCCAUUCCACUUUGCAUUCGGAAGAAACAGAACCAAUCAGUAAUGAGUUCUAGAACUACAGAAAUCAUCCAGCUUUAUCAAAUCAUCUCUCUAAGAUUCAAUCUUUAAAGGCUAGGUCAUGGGCCUUUCCUGUAAUAUAGUCUUCCAAAUUGUCUUUUUUUUUUUUUUAAUUGUCCUUUUUUAUUUAAGUGGAGUCCAAUUCAGGGCUUGAACUCAUGACCCUGAGAUCAAGACCUGAGCUGAGAUCAAGAGCCGGAUGUUUAACUAACUGAGCCACCCAGGUGCCCCCAAAUUGUCUGUCUAAUAUAAACUUCUUUAGAAGUUUUUAAAUUUACAGAAAAAUUGCAAAGAUAGUACAGGCAGUUCCCAUAUUCCUCACACCCAGUUGCCCCUAUGAUUUACAUCUUAUUUUAAGUAUGCUGCAUUUGUUAUAACUAAUGAGCCAAUGUUGAUACACUAUUACUAACUCAAGUUCAUACUUUAUUCAGAUUUCUUUAGUUUUUUCACCUAACAUCCUUGAUCUAUUCUAGCACCUCCAAACUACGUUUUAAAUCAUAAACUGGAUUUUUAAAUUGUAAAAAUAGUACAUACAUAUGUUACCUAUUCAAAUACUGCAGAAGAGCAUAAAAUAAAAAGUACUAUUUCUACUUUCC